Molecule: ribosomal RNA, 465 nt
Filed under: Vreelandella stevensii
Lineage: Bacteria; Pseudomonadati; Pseudomonadota; Gammaproteobacteria; Oceanospirillales; Halomonadaceae
Description: partial 16S ribosomal RNA
Rfam family: Bacterial small subunit ribosomal RNA
Source: RNAcentral
CCUACGGGGGGCUGCAGUGGGGAAUAUUGGACAAUGGGGGGAACCCUGAUCCAGCCAUGCCGCGUGUGUGAAGAAGGCCCUCGGGUUGUAAAGCACUUUCAGUGAGGAAGAACGCCUGGUGGUUAAUACCCAUCAGGAAAGACAUCACUCACAGAAGAAGCACCGGCUAACUCCGUGCCAGCAGCCGCGGUAAUACGGAGGGUGCGAGCGUUAAUCGGAAUUACUGGGCGUAAAGCGCGCGUAGGUGGCUUGAUAAGCCGGUUGUGAAAGCCCCGGGCUCAACCUGGGAACGGCAUCCGGAACUGUCAAGCUAGAGUGCAGGAGAGGAAGGUAGAAUUCCCGGUGUAGCGGUGAAAUGCGUAGAGAUCGGGAGGAAUACCAGUGGCGAAGGCGGCCUUCUGGACUGACACUGACACUGAGGUGCGAAAGCGUGGGUGGCAAACAGGAUUAGAUACCCUAGUAGUC